GAUGAACGCUGGCGGCGUGCCUAAUACAUGCAAGUCGAGCGAACAGAUAAGGAGCUUGCUCCUUUGGCGUUAGCGGCGGACGGGUGAGUAACACGUGGGUAACCUACCUAUAAGACUGGGAUAACUUCGGGAAACCGGAGCUAAUACCGGAUAACAUUUGGAACCGCAUGGUUCUAAAGUGAAAGAUGGUUUUGCUAUCACUUAUAGAUGGACCCGCGCCGUAUUAGCUAGUUGGUAAGGUAACGGCUUACCAAGGCAACGAUACGUAGCCGACCUGAGAGGGUGAUCGGCCACACUGGAACUGGGACACGGUCCAGACUCCUACGGGAGGCAGCAGUAGGGAAUCUUCCGCAAUGGGCGAAAGCCUGACGGAGCAACGCCGCGUGAGUGAUGAAGGGUUUCGGCUCGUAAAACUCUGUUAUUAGGGAAGAACAAAUGUGUAAGUAACUGUGCACGUCUUGACGGUACCUAAUCAGAAAGCCACGGCUAACUACGUG
Molecule: ribosomal RNA, 497 nt
Filed under: uncultured bacterium
Lineage: Bacteria
Description: partial 16S ribosomal RNA
Rfam family: Bacterial small subunit ribosomal RNA
Source: RNAcentral